RNAcentral lists this ribosomal RNA (842 nucleotides) under Phyllosticta philoprina. RNAcentral's name for it is "LSU rRNA". It matches the Rfam family "Eukaryotic large subunit ribosomal RNA", at positions 71 to 929 of the family's 3401-position model. Lineage: Eukaryota; Fungi; Ascomycota; Dothideomycetes; Botryosphaeriales; Phyllostictaceae. The record is from RNAcentral.
GGGAUUGCCUCAGUAACGGCGAGUGAAGCGGCAAUAGCUCAAAUUUGAAAGCUGGCACCUUCGGUGUCCGCGUUGUAAUUUGUAGAGGAUGCUUCGGCGAGGACUCCUGCCUAAGUCCCCUGGAACGGGGCGUCACAGAGGGUGAGAAUCCCGUAUGUGGCGGGCGGUCCAAGCCAUGUGAAGCUCCUUCGACGAGUCGAGUUGUUUGGGAAUGCAGCUCUAAAUGGGAGGUAAAUUUCUUCUAAAGCUAAAUAUUGGCCAGAGACCGAUAGCGCACAAGUAGAGUGAUCGAAAGAUGAAAAGCACUUUGGAAAGAGAGUUAAAAAGUACGUGAAAUUGUUGAAAGGGAAGCGCUUGCAACCAGACUCGCUCGCAGUUGCUCAGCCGGCCUCUUGGCCGGUGUACUCUUCUGCGAUCGGGCCAGCAUCAGUUCGGGCGGCCGGAUAAAGGUGUCGGGAAUGUAGCACCCUUCGGGGUGUGUUAUAGCCCGGCGCGGAAUGCGGCCAGCCUGGACUGAGGAUCUCGCUUCGGCAAGGAUGCUGGCGUAAUGGUUGUAAGCGGCCCGUCUUGAAACACGGACCAAGGAGUCUAACAUCUAUGCGAGUGUUUGGGUGUCAAACCCAUGCGCGUAAUGAAAGUGAACGGAGGUGGGAACCCCUCACGGGGUGCACCAUCGACCGAUCCUGAUGUCUUCGGAUGGAUUUGAGUAAGAGCAUAGCUGUUGGGACCCGAAAGAUGGUGAACUAUGCCUGAAUAGGGUGAAGCCAGAGGAAACUCUGGUGGAGGCUCGCAGCGGUUCUGACGUGCAAAUCGAUCGUCAAAUUUGGGUAUAGGGGCGAAAG